This 218-nucleotide ribosomal RNA is filed under the name uncultured bacterium. RNAcentral's name for it is "partial 16S ribosomal RNA". It matches the Rfam family "Bacterial small subunit ribosomal RNA", at positions 1285 to 1500 of the family's 1533-position model. The record is from RNAcentral.
GUCUCAGUUCGGAUUGUAGUCUGCAACUCGACUACAUGAAGCUGGAAUCGCUAGUAAUCGCGGAUCAGAAUGCCGCGGUGAAUACGUUCCCGGGUCUUGUACACACCGCCCGUCACACCAUGGGAGUCAGUAACGCCCGAAGCCGGUGACCCAACCUAAACAGGAGGGAGCCGUCGAAGGCGGGACGGAUGACUGGGGUGAAGUCGUAACAAGGUACC